AGCCUGAACGCUGGCGGCGUGGCUAAGACAUGCAAGUCGUACGGGUGUAGCAAUACACCAGUGGCGGACGGGUGAGUAAUGUAUCGCUAACGUACCCCGAAAUCUGGGAUAGCCAUCCGAAAGGAUGGGUAAUACCAGGUAACAUCACCGGAUGGCAUCAUCUGGUGCUCAUAGGGUCACCGUUUCGGGAGCGGGCGAUAUCGUAUCAGCUAGUUGGCGGGGUAACGGCCCACCAAGGCGACGACGCGUAGCCGGACUGAGAGGUUGGCCGGCCACAUUGGGACUGAGACACUGCCCAGACUCCUACGGGGGGCUGCAGUAACGAAUCUUCCGCAAUGCACGCAAGUGUGACGGAGCGACGCCGCGUGUGGGACGAAGCCCUUCGGGGUGUAAACCACUGUCAGGGGUUAGAAAGUUCUGAUCGACCCAGAGGAAGGCACGGCUAACUCUGCGCCAGCAGCCGCGGUAA
This 469-nucleotide ribosomal RNA is filed under the name uncultured bacterium. Its description in RNAcentral is "SSU rRNA". It matches the Rfam family "Bacterial small subunit ribosomal RNA", at positions 26 to 523 of the family's 1533-position model. The record is from RNAcentral.